GCCGACAUGGCACAGUGGUAGCGCAGCUCACUCGUAAUGAGCAGGUCCUCGGUUCAGAAUCCGAGUGUCGGCU
Molecule: non-coding RNA, 73 nt
Organism: Bacidia gigantensis
Lineage: Eukaryota; Fungi; Ascomycota; Lecanoromycetes; Lecanorales; Ramalinaceae
Source: the annotation of a RefSeq genome assembly